Danio rerio (zebrafish) is the source of this 115-nucleotide ribosomal RNA. NCBI's taxonomy places the organism in Eukaryota, Metazoa, Chordata, Actinopteri, Cypriniformes, Danionidae. The record is from Ensembl.
CCACAGCCAUAUCACCAUGCAGCCCAAGACUGGUUUCUCACUAAAGCUAAUCAGGGCUGAGCCUUGUCAGUACUUGGAUGGGAGACCACAUGGGAAAAUAUUGAUGGUCUUUGGA